UGGGGAAUCUUCCGCAAUGGACGAAAGUCUGACGGAGCAACGCCGCGUGAGUGGUGACGGCCUUCGGGUUGUAAAGCUCUGUUAAUCGGGACGAAUGGUUCUUGUGCAAAUAGUGCAAGGAUUUGACGGUACCGGAAUAGAAAGCCACGGCUAACUACGUGCCAGCAGCCGCGGUAAUACGUAGGUGGCAAGCGUUGUCCGGAAUUAUUGGGCGUAAAGCGCGCGCAGGCGGAUUGGUCAGUCUGUCUUAAAAGUUCGGGGCUUAACCCCGUGAUGGGAUGGAAACUGCCAAUCUAGAGUAUCGGAGAGGAAAGUGGAAUUCCUAGUGUAGCGGUGAAAUGCGUAGAUAUUAGGAAGAACACCAGUGGCGAAGGCGACUUUCUGGACGAAAACCGACGCUGAGGCGCGAAAGCCAGGGGAGCGAACGGGAUUAGAUACCCCGGUAGUCCUGGCCGUAAACGAUGGGUACUAGGUGUAGGAGGUAUCGACCCCUUCUGUGCCGGAGUUAACGCAAUAAGUACCCCGCCUGGGGAGUACGACCGCAAGGUUG
Molecule: ribosomal RNA, 550 nt
Filed under: uncultured bacterium
Lineage: Bacteria
Description: bacterial SSU rRNA
Rfam family: Bacterial small subunit ribosomal RNA
Source: RNAcentral